Ctenopharyngodon idella (grass carp) is the source of this 1004-nucleotide long non-coding RNA. RefSeq lists it as uncharacterized. The record is from RefSeq and is a predicted model, not a curated record. NCBI's taxonomy places the organism in Eukaryota, Metazoa, Chordata, Actinopteri, Cypriniformes, Xenocyprididae. The transcript has 3 exons.
GAGUACCAAACUGUGUGCACCGCCUCAACUCCCAUUUCUGUCAAUGGAUUCUUACUACGGGUGCUGUGCUGCAGACAGGCCAACAGAACAUGGAAUCGCUGGUACAGAAGAACCGCCUGAGACGGGCUGACUGGAUACUGCAGGUCUGAGAGAACCAGAACCACCUGCUGGGCCUGAUAUCCAACAAACGGGAGCUAUGAUAGAGAUAAUGGAAAGACCAAACAGGAUGAUCAUAUUAGCUGAAGCUCUAGAGAGAGCCCUGACCCGUCGAGGCUUGGACUCUACUAGACCCCUGAAGGUGUGCCUUCUUCCCAUAGUACAUCCUGUUGCCAUGUGUUCCCCAGGUAAGCAAUGCACACGCACCCGGCCAUCCACGUGAUUCAUCAGACCAGGCCACCUUCUUCCAUUGCUCUGUGGUCCAGUUCUGAUGCUCACGUGCCCACUGUUGGCGCUUUCGGCGGUGGACAGGGGUCAGCAUGGGCACCCUGACUGGUCUGCAGCUAUGCAGCCCCAUACGCAACAAACUGCGAUGCACUGUGUAUUCUGACACCUUUCUAUCAGAACCAGCAUUAACUUCUUGAGCAAUUUGAGCUAUAGCAGCUCGUCUGUUGGAUCGGACCACAGGGGCCAGCCUUUGCUCCCCACGUGCAUCAAUGAGCCUUGGCCGCCCAUGACCUUGUUGGUUCACCACUGUUCCUUCCUUGGACCACUUUUGAUAGAUACUGACCACUGCAGACCGGGAACACCCCACAAGAGCUGCAGUUUUGGAGAAACUCUGACCCAGUGUCUAGCCAUCACAAUUUGGCCCUUGUCAAACUCGCUCAAAUCCUUACGCUUGCCCAUUUUUCCUGCUUCUAACACAUCAACUUUGAGGACAAAAUGUUCAUUUGCUGCCAUAUAUAUUCCACCCACUAACAGGUGCCGUGAUGAAAAGAUAAUCAGUGUUAUUCACUUCACCUGUCAGUGGUCAUAAUGUUAUGCCUGAUCGGUGUAUUUAUAUAUGC